RNAcentral lists this ribosomal RNA (574 nucleotides) under Genicanthus semifasciatus (Japanese swallow angelfish). RNAcentral's name for it is "partial large subunit ribosomal RNA". It matches the Rfam family "Bacterial large subunit ribosomal RNA", at positions 1816 to 2597 of the family's 2925-position model. Lineage: Eukaryota; Metazoa; Chordata; Actinopteri; Pomacanthidae. The record is from RNAcentral.
CGCCUCUUGCAAAAUUAAUAAAUAAGAGGUCUCGCCUGCCCUGUGACUAUAUGUUUAACGGCCGCGGUAUUUUGACCGUGCAAAGGUAGCGCAAUCACUUGUCUUUUAAAUGAAGACCCGUAUGAAUGGCACAACGAGGGCUUAACUGUCUCUUCUUUCAAGUCAAUGAAAUUGAUCUCCCCGUGCAGAAGCGGGGAUAUGUACAUAAGACGAGAAGACCCUGUGGAGCUUCAGGCACCAAAGCAGAAUAUGUUAAGUACCCCAGACCAAUGAUUGAAACAACUUAUAACCUGCCCUAAUGCCUUCGGUUGGGGCGACCGCGGGGAAAUGAAAAACCCCCAUGUAGAAUGGAAGCACAGCUUCUACAACUAAGAGUCCCCACUCUAACUAACAGAACCUCUGACUAACAAGAUCCGGCAAUGCCGAUCAACGGACCAAGUUACCCCAGGGAUAACAGCGCAAUCCCCUUUUAGAGCCCAUAUCGACAAGGGGGUUUACGACCUCGAUGUUGGAUCAGGACAUCCUAAUGGUGCAGCCGCUAUUAAGGGUUCGUUUGUUCAACGAUUAAAGUCCU